RNAcentral lists this ribosomal RNA (450 nucleotides) under uncultured bacterium. RNAcentral's name for it is "partial 16S ribosomal RNA". It matches the Rfam family "Bacterial small subunit ribosomal RNA", at positions 338 to 795 of the family's 1533-position model. The record is from RNAcentral.
CCUACGGGGGGCUGCAGUGAGGAAUAUUGGUCAAUGGGCGAGAGCCUGAACCAGCCAUGCCGCGUGCAGGAAGACGGCCCUACGGGUUGUAAACUGCUUUUGUGUGGGAAGAAAAAGCCUUACGUGUAGGGCACUGACGGUACCAUAUGAAUAAGCAUCGGCUAACUCCGUGCCAGCAGCCGCGGUAAUACGGAGGAUGCGAGCGUUAUCCGGAUUUAUUAGGGUUAAAGGGUGUGUAGGAGGAAGCUUAGAAAUCCCCCGGCUCAACCGGGGAACUGCCAUAGAUACUGGGUUUCUUGAGUACAGUUGAAGUAGGCGGAAUGUGUAAUGUAGCGGUGAAAUGCAUAGAUAUUACACAGAACACCGAUUGCGAAGGCAGCUUGCUAAGCUGUUACUGACGCUGAUGCACGAAAGCGUGGGGAGCGAACAGGAUUAGAUACCCUUGUAGUC